UAUAGGCCUACUCUGUACUGCUAUAUAGUGUAGCCUUUUGUUGACAAUGUUAACGUUUUUAUGGUGAAUUGCCCUUUAAAUGGAGCGAAGUUCAGUUCAGGAAGCUACAUCAGUGCGUUGCUACACACACGACAUUGUUUACCCGUCAUUGUAACAUAUCCAACGCAUCCUUUGGCGCUGUCGGCCUGAGUGAAGCUCUGGAAGCUGGAAAGGUGUUUUCUGUCCUGCACUGUGGGUGACUUGGGAACUCUGCAACUAUUUACUGAGACUUUUCACUUCACCAAAGAACUGGAGAUAAUUUGAUCUGAGAGUGGUUCACCUGGGAGAGCUGGCUGCUCUGACUGCAAGAGGAUUUGUGAACUGGC
Molecule: long non-coding RNA, 365 nt
Organism: Thunnus maccoyii (southern bluefin tuna)
Lineage: Eukaryota; Metazoa; Chordata; Actinopteri; Scombriformes; Scombridae
Exons: 3
Source: RefSeq, a predicted model, not a curated record